RNAcentral lists this small RNA (125 nucleotides) under Marmota monax (woodchuck). Lineage: Eukaryota; Metazoa; Chordata; Mammalia; Rodentia; Sciuridae. The record is from RNAcentral.
GCCCGGCGCGGUGGCGCACGUCUGUAAUCCCAGCAAUUUGGGAGGCUGAGGCAGGAGGAUCGCGAGUUCAGAACCAGCCUCAGCAACCACGAGGCGCUAAGCAACUCAGUGAGCCUCUGUCUCUA